UGGCAAUCUGAAAUGAUCGAU
Molecule: non-coding RNA, 21 nt
Filed under: Caenorhabditis elegans
Lineage: Eukaryota; Metazoa; Nematoda; Chromadorea; Rhabditida; Rhabditidae
Source: RNAcentral